Molecule: ribosomal RNA, 161 nt
Filed under: Verticillium dahliae
Lineage: Eukaryota; Fungi; Ascomycota; Sordariomycetes; Glomerellales; Plectosphaerellaceae
Also listed under: 2 other names
Description: partial 18S ribosomal RNA
Rfam family: Eukaryotic small subunit ribosomal RNA
Source: RNAcentral
ACCUGGUUGAUUCUGCCAGUAGUCAUAUGCUUGUCUCAAAGAUUAAGCCAUGCAUGUCUAAGUAUAAGCAAUUACAAAGCGAAACUGCGAAUGGCUCAUUAUAUAAGUUAUCGUUUAUUUGAUAGUACCUUACUACAUGGAUAACCGUGGUAAUUCUAGAG